RNAcentral lists this ribosomal RNA (498 nucleotides) under uncultured bacterium. RNAcentral's name for it is "partial 16S ribosomal RNA". It matches the Rfam family "Bacterial small subunit ribosomal RNA", at positions 30 to 523 of the family's 1533-position model. The record is from RNAcentral.
AUUGAACGCUGGCGGCAUGCCUUACACAUGCAAGUCGAACGGUAACAGGUCUUCGGAUGCUGACGAGUGGCGAACGGGUGAGUAAUACAUCGGAACGUGCCCGAUCGUGGGGGAUAACGAAGCGAAAGCUUUGCUAAUACCGCAUAAGAUCUAAGGAUGAAAGCAGGGGACCGCAAGGCCUUGCGCGAACGGAGCGGCCGAUGGCAGAUUAGGUAGUUGGUGGGAUAAAAGCUUACCAAGCCGACGAUCUGUAGCUGGUCUGAGAGGACGACCAGACACACUGGGACUGAGACACGGCCCAGACUCCUACGGGAGGCAGCAGUGGGGAAUUUUGGAGAAUGGGCGAAAGCCUGAUCCAGCCAUGCCGCGUGCAGGAUGAAGGCCUUCGGGUUGUAAACUGCUUUUGUACGGAACGAAAAGACUCUUUCUAAUAAAGGGGGUCCAUGACGGUACCGUAAGAAUAAGCACCGGCUAACUACGUGCCAGCAGCCGCCGUAA